Long non-coding RNA from Zeugodacus cucurbitae (melon fly), 3140 nucleotides. RefSeq lists it as uncharacterized. NCBI's taxonomy places the organism in Eukaryota, Metazoa, Arthropoda, Insecta, Diptera, Tephritidae. The record is from RefSeq and is a predicted model, not a curated record. The transcript has 7 exons.
CAACUGCAAACUCAAGUUGGUGUUCCAUUUUUAAAAAUGAACACAUGGCCGCAAGCACAGGCACACAAACGCGCGCGCUCGAAUACAUUUGCGAAAUAUUAUUGAUGUGUAUUGGUUGUGUGCGAAAGCGCGCGCACACACAUACAUUAAUAUGUGUAUAAAAGAGUGUAUGAAAUCAGAUUUUCAACCACCGCGCUUCUAAGUAUGUGUGUAAGUGGCAAAAAAAAUAGCGCGCGCACACACACACGCACUCCUAGAGGCAGCUAUAAAAAACUUGCUUCCCUUGCUCAUAGCAGUUCGCGCAAAAAAAAAUAAAAGUGAAAAAUGUGGAAAAAAUUUGAAAAAAUGCAGAAAAAGUACGCGCUAUUUAGGGGAAAAGCUGCGCGGCAACAGCAAAUCCGGAAAAUGAGGCAUAAAUUAUUUUUAUAGGUGGACUGUGUGCGCGAGUGUUCGCUAUGGUUAAGUGGCGGCAUGGUGGUGGCGCGGCGUACAUAUUUAUUCAAAUAUAUGUAUGUGUGCGCGCCUUUGGCGGCUUGUCGCUGUUUUUAAUUCAAUUUCUUCUUUUUUCUUUGCUUGGCGCUUGCUUUUGUUGUUGUUAUUGUUGCUGCUGCCACAUUUUGCGUAUCGAAUUUUUGUGGCCGCAUUUCGCUUGUCAGCGCGCCAACAGCAGCAGCUACAUGGCCGCCUUGACAAUCACACACGCCUCAGUACACUUUCGACUUUGACGACGCACGGAAUUGUCGCCACGGCCACGCAUUCGCCGCUUGCUGCAACAUUGGACAACACAAGUGGCGGGCUGAUUGUGACAGCGCCUUCAACCACAGCAAGUAAGCAAAACAACGCUCUGCAGCGCGCGCUUAUUAUUUUGCCGCCGCUUGGCUUACAAGCAUUGCGCUGCCACUUGUUUCUUUGCGCCUUGCUCCAUUUUUUUCUUCCUGGACGCAAUUCGAUCUGCAACAUUUAUUUCAACCAACACUGCUGCAUAUUUUUUUGUGUUUUUUUUUCGAUUUUCGUCUGCUUAAUCUCCGCGUGCGCACAACCAACGUGCCGCGUCCAAUCGGCUGUGUGACUCGGUUAUCAUUCGGUUGCUCGUGCUGCCGGUAAAGCACAUAUGUUGAGCGCGCUUUCGGUUGCUAUUACUGUUGUAUUUGUUAUUGCUGUUGCUGUUGGUGUUGCCUGCGCUGCCGCUAGCAUGUCUGUUACUGCCGCCCCCUGCUUUGCUGUUAACAAGCGCGCGCACACCGCACACGCACACCUUGCUAUCGGACAGGCGCGCCAUUCAUCAACGCCUCAGCAGCAUCUCUCUGCCAUAACGGCGACGCUGGUGGCUGACCGGCCGGUCGCUUGGCCGCCUGCCGCUGGUUGGCAGUCAGCCAGGCUCCGUGGCUUAUCCUGCAUCCUGGCCUCGUGCAGUUGUCCAACAGCAGCCGGUGUUGGCAGUAGUACAUCAGCUUGUCGUCCGCGCUGACACAUUGAUAAAUAAAUCUUAAUCAACUUCAAAACACAUUCAGCCGCCAACGAAACACCAACAGGCCAGCAAGCAAGUAACAUUUGAGCAUGCAACAACCACAACAACAACAAGGAACAUAACAACGUCAUAUUAAUUCCACAUAAAAGCAACAAAAUGUCGUCGCAAUGCUUACUAACUGCAGUCAUAUAUAUACUACAGACACUUAGUAGCUAGAUCUGUUAUAAUCCAAGUGUCAGUUGCAUUAAUUUACCGCGUACGCUCGGCCGUCCAAAGCUUCGCUUGCAUACAAGAACAACAACAACAACAACAACAACAACAACAACAACACCGAAUGUAAAUAUUGCUAACUGCAAAUGAUUUAUGGCCAAGAGACAAUGAAACCGAAUCUCCGUCGUCCAAAGUGCCGCUAACACAGGUCGCCUCACAUACAUGUGAGUGUAUAAUGUCGCAUAACGGUUCUUGUUGUCAUUUGUAGUAUGGUUUGGUGCGUUAGUUUUGAAUUCGGUUUUGGUUUGGUUUUCGGCCGCUUUUCCGUUUAUUGUGUGUUGCUGCCGGCUUGUUGGUUGUCGCCUGUCAGUGUUUUCGACCGCCCAACAGACGAGCUCACAUGAGCUCGUUCGCUCACUCACUCGCUUUGUACGUAUGUAAAGUCGCGUGUUUGUAGCAACGUGCAACGUGCAACAUGCUGUAAUUUCCGUGUUUUGUAUAGUGUCGGUAUUGCUAUAGUUGCUGUUGUUAUAAUUACUGUCGACGCUGUGCAAAAACUGAACUCAAGUGUGGCAAACGGAUCGGUGAAUGUUGCUAAAUUCCUUUGUGACUCAAAUUGUUGCACAAGCGAGUGGACGAGUAUAUAAAAUUGCGCAUUCAAGUGGGCUGUCUGCAAUUUGGCGAAAACUUGGAGCAAAAUUGGAGAAAAAUUGGAGAAUUGCGGCAAAACAGAUUCUUAAAACCAACUCGAAACAAUCCGAAAAGGUGGUUGCUUUUUAAAGAAACAGACUUCAAACAAAAAAAGGCGCUCAUUUGUCCGCUUGGCUGUAUAAGAGGUGCUAAAGUUAUAGGAGGGUCUAACAUGGAAACUUUGCCGUAAAUGGGAUCCCAAUAAUUCUAAUGAGAAAUUCGCAGAUAAUCGAUCGAUAAAGAAGUUUUAUUGAAAGUUCCCUCAACUAUCAGAUGAAAUACACGAACGAAAUGCUGCGGCUGUAAGCGCCUGUGGGCAAGAUGGAAGUGGUAGAGGAAGAACUCAGGUUCAAUGGGUUGCCAUGCAUGAGCAGCGCGCAGACAGUCGUUGGACCUCGAAUCGAGCUGUGUGGCAAAUAGCUACAUGUGGCUGCCACACUCGGUGGCGACGUUGGACGGUGGAGAUGGCGUCUCUAAAAGACACGGAAACAUGCUACUAAAUAAAAUCAAGCGGAUGAUGUAUGAUGUUAGAGUUCAGUCCAUUAAAUGUUUGUUUAAAAUGGCUUUGGCAUGUAUAAACGUUUAUUACGAGUCAGAUACGAGCAUUAGCGAGUGUGAAAGCUGACAACAACAACAACUCAACUGUUGGAUACAAAGCAAAAAAGUAAUGAUUUUAUUGCAAACAUAUCGAUAGCAGGUGAGUAGAUGAUUUUAGUUGGGAAAAUAAUUUGUUAUAUAUACAUAUAUCCGAGUGACAGUGAUACAGCAGACG